Ostrea edulis (European flat oyster) is the source of this 3153-nucleotide long non-coding RNA. RefSeq lists it as uncharacterized. NCBI's taxonomy places the organism in Eukaryota, Metazoa, Mollusca, Bivalvia, Ostreida, Ostreidae. The transcript has 3 exons. The record is from RefSeq and is a predicted model, not a curated record.
CUGUCUGUCCGUCUGUCUGUCCGUGUUUACGAGAGUGCAUAUAUUGGGUUCUUUUUAUACUCAGAAGGUACUUAUUGGGUACUUUUUGCUUAUUGGGUAUACCCAAUAGGAAGUGUCGCUAAAUGUACUUAAAAUGCCUUAAUUGGGUAUAUGCCGGCAAGUACCCAACACGACUUGGACACGACGACUUGUCCAAAAAAGUGUCUGAAAAAGUUGUUACUACGGACUGGCCGUAUUUCGCUUGUCAGCUACACUCCCGGAACUUUAAAUAUAAAACUAGUAACUCCCGAGAGUUCCGAAAAGCAACUUCCGUUAGUCUUGAUCUCUAAGGCGUUUUGUUUUCAUCAAAUAUGGCGACGAUGAAGAAGCGUUUGAGGUCGACACGAUCAGAAGUAAGUUUCUAUGAUUAAUUAACCUAUUAAUAGAUGUCUUCCUUAGAUAGAAUUGAUUAAAAUGUGUAUCAUGUCAAUAUAUUGUUUUUUUAAGUAAUUGUAUACAAAAUGAAGAUAAAUAUCGGAACAAAUAGGCUUGUCUGUAUUUGGAAUUUCCUCUGUUCUUAUCAACUUUAUAUGGGGUAAGCUGUAUUUAGAAAAAAAACGGGGUUUGAUGGACACUAACGGAGUAACGGUGGGCCAAAGGUCCGAGACCACUAAACAAUCGGAAGGUUUACCUGAAAAUUUGGUAUGGAGGGACUUCGGUCUACCUGAGAUUGCUGGCAAGUGCAAUCAACAAUGGUCAACUACAUAAUUUGUAAAUUUGUAAAUUGUUUACUCUCUUUAAAAAAUACAAAAAUUAAAAAGGCGCAUUGUCCGUAAAUCCUCCCCAUAUAAAUCAUUCGACAGCACUACUAUCAUAGUUUAGUUUUUAAAACACUCCAAAAACAUCGCCAACUUUUCCCAUAAAUUCGAAUUUCCUCCAUUGUUUAGUAUGGUUAUGUACGUGUUAUAAUGUAGAUUCACUUAUUGUAUCCACUUUCUAAAUCAACUUGAAAGUUGUUUGGUAAGGAUAUGGAGUUAUUCCAUAAAGACACAAUAUAUUUUCAGUGCAUUUUGUGUUUAUUUGGAAAUAACUCUUUGAGGCUUGUACACUUUGUUUGGGGAGUCUAAUCACCAGUCUACCGCAUUGUAUAAUGUUGGAUUAAGAUAUUUCAUUUUGAUAGAAUAUAGUUAACCUUUAUAAGUUUUAUCAACACAUGUAUAUUUGAAAAUAAAUGAAAUUUUAAUUUACUUCACACAAAAGAAUUUUAUUGGAUAGAAUUUUAAUGUAAUGUUCAUGUAAACAUAUGUUCCUUACAAGUGUUUUGAGAUACAUGUAGUGUCAUAGGGGAGUUUAAUCACCGUGUUGUGAUGUCAUAAUUAAAGAAUGUAACUGUCAUAUAAUAUUGAAAUCCAAUCAACUUGAAUUUUCCUGCUUUAACAUAUCGAUGAUGAAUUUUUCUACUUCAACAUUCAAAAUUGGAAAAAAAAUAAAUUAAAAAUAUUUGUUCAUUGUGUAACUAUCCUAGCUACACUGUAAGUUGUUUUUCCCGACUGGGACAGGAAUAAAUUUUUGCUGGCCUUAAAUGAGCAUGAUAUGGUAUCAACUUUACCACCAGUUGUAGUAUUUAAAAGUAUAAAUUGAACAGAAUAUUAUUAGACGUGAUGUAAAUGAAAUGGAGAAAAUGAUCUCUUUUCUUUUCUUUUGAUCAAAUAUUUUUUGAAGAACCAUCUGAUAUCUAAAAGGUCCACCAGGAGUGUAAGUGGUUCUUCUGUCCACCAGUGAAAAAAAGUUAGAGUCAAACCCUGUUAAACUAACGCAUUCAUAAUCUUUGAGAAAUCAUAACUUGUCUUGAUUAUUAAAUUUCGUAUGAUGAUAAACUCUUGUGUGUUUGACGAGGUAUAUUGGAGAAGGUAAUAAAAAAGUUUAACAAUGGUAUGUCUAUUAAUUGCUGGGUAUUGGUACAUCCAUGUAGUAAAAGCAUGUAAAGAUAGCAGAUAUAAAAGAUGCGGGUAAUUAACAAUAAAUAAAUAAAUGAUAAGUUCAAGAGGAAUUUGACCCCAUGUAGACUUAUGACUUACCAAUGAUUACAAUAAGAUUAAAAAGCAUUAUUUUGUUUAGUUGUGAAUUUUAAAAAGUUGUUCUAUAUUUUAAAGGAAUUUCAGGUGUGAACAUAAACAGAAAAUAUGCUAGAAGAUGUUCCAUCGGAAUUGGACAGUUUGGUAGAGGAAGCAGACCUACAGAAAGAGGAAGAAGAAGAGACAUCACUUCGAAGGAAAAAACAUCUUCAUCUUCAUGAAUAAAAUAGACAGAGGCAGAACUUAAUGAGGUGCAUGAAUAUAUCAGAGAAUGUCUGAACACAAACACCAGUACAGGAAGAAAAAGAUUGCAAUAUGGGAUUAGAGAAGAACAGACCCAAUAGAAGUGUCAUACAGUUUAGGCCAAGGAAGACUCUGAACAAGAACGUAUAGAACAUAAUUCAGAAACAAAAAUAAAACCAUUUGACAUUUUUUGUAAUCUAGGAUUAAAGCCCCACGUGUGAAGUUUUGUCAUGUAAUGAUCUCUGACUCUUAACAUUAUUUUUUCUUCUGUUCUAAUUAUGUACAGUGAAUAUCUGAUCAAAUAUUUUGAUCUAGCUUUGUGGAAAAGAUUUUGACAGUGUUUAAGUUUUGACACGAAGUAGUUCAUUUCUUAACUUGAGGUAAUGGUGAAUAUCACAAGUCAUUGCUAUUACUGUAGGGAAUAUAUGCAUUGUAUUUGUAUUCCAUGGGAAACUGAAUAGUAGCAUGUAAUCAGUUUGAGAUUUUUUUCGUACGAUGGAAGACAAUUUUCAUUGACCUAACAAAUGAUUGGUCUAUGAUGAUAUAAGCAAUUUCAUGGAUUUUCGAUACAUUUAAUGUGAAUGUCCUUAGAUAAGAGCAACUCGUAGCCAAUAUGUACGCAAGGAUGCGAUCUAUUUAACAGUUUGAUAAAUAUAUAAUUAUAUAUAUAUCAAUAUCAUGGACUUUCUUCUGCUGAUGAAAAUUCCGUUAAUUAUAGCAACUGAUAGGAAAUAUGUACCCUGGAAUCUGUUUUAUUAAGGAUUAUGUGGGCCUUCUAUCUUUAAUCUAUAUAUGUGUCAAUGCUUAGAUAAAUGCUGUUCUGUGUUUUAAAGUUAAAAAUAAAAAAGAGACUAUU